Long non-coding RNA from Bradysia coprophila, 366 nucleotides. RefSeq lists it as uncharacterized. Lineage: Eukaryota; Metazoa; Arthropoda; Insecta; Diptera; Sciaridae. The record is from RefSeq and is a predicted model, not a curated record.
UCGUAAUUAUUCAUUUAUGAUGGAAACUGUACUCCAGCUGCUGUAUAUAUACUGCAUCCAUUUCCUAUCCAGAUCAGUUCAUUCUACGACGAGAACGGUUGAAGAUUUAAUAAUGAAAUAUUUUCUGGUGUUCGCUUGUGUUAUCUUCUGUUUGGGAAGUGCCUAUGGUUCACCUGUUUCCAAGCCUGAUCCAACAUUCGGACUUUUCGCUGGUCUAGCACAGCUACAAGCGGCAGCUGCAGCUGCAGGCAAUGCACCUCUGUAUAGUAAUAUGUAUAGCGGUUAUGGCAGCGGUGUUAUAAAUUCGAACUCAUUCGAUUAUGUUCAUAAUAUAGUAAUUCGAAAAUAAAUAUUUUGCUGCCAGAA